AUACGUAGGUGGCAAGCGUUAUCCGGAAUUAUUGGGCGUAAAGAGUGAGCAGGCGGUUAAUUAAGUCUGAGGUUAAAGCGUGGGGCUCAACCCCAUAAAGCCUUGGAAACUGAUUGACUAGAGUACGGGAGAAGUGAAGGGAACUCCAUGUGUAGCGGUUAAAUGCGUAGAUAUAUGGAAGAACACCAGUGGCGAAGGCGCUUCACUAGCCCGAAACUGACGCUCAGUCACGAAAGCGUGGGUAGCAAAUAGGAUUAGAUACCCUAGUAGUCCACGCUGUAAACGAUGACAACUAAAUAUUGCCGCGAGGCAGUGUUGAAGCUAACGCAUUAAGUUGUCCGCCUGGGGAGUACGGUCGCAAGACUGAAACUUAAAGGAAUUGACGGGG
Molecule: ribosomal RNA, 388 nt
Filed under: uncultured bacterium
Lineage: Bacteria
Description: partial 16S ribosomal RNA
Rfam family: Bacterial small subunit ribosomal RNA
Source: RNAcentral